GUCGGAGGCCCACUAUUGGCAUACACAGCAAAAGAAAGAAACAGAAUCAAUGAAAAACAGACGCGCAACUAAUGUGCAAAAGACAACAAACUGUGCAAAUACUAAAAGAAAGGAGAUACAGCAUGGAAUAGGCCCUUCAAGCCACACCACCACCCAUCAACCCCCGACUUAACCAUAGACGAAUCAUGGGACAAUCAACUAAUCUACUAGCUGGUACAUCUUUGGACUGUGGGAGGAAACCCGAGCACCCGGAGACAACCCACACAGUCAUGGGGAGAACAUACAAGCUCCCUACAAAUGACAUUGGAAAUGAAGUCUGAACACCAACUUCCCAAGCUGUAAUAGCAUCACAUUAACCACUAUGCUACCGUGAUCUUAGAGAAGGUUUAAGGGUUGGCACAACUCUCUAGGCCAAUGGGCUGUAAUGUUCUUCGAGAAUCUACUAAU
Hypanus sabinus (Atlantic stingray) is the source of this 447-nucleotide long non-coding RNA. RefSeq lists it as uncharacterized. The record is from RefSeq and is a predicted model, not a curated record. NCBI's taxonomy places the organism in Eukaryota, Metazoa, Chordata, Chondrichthyes, Myliobatiformes, Dasyatidae. The transcript is spliced from 3 exons.